Molecule: ribosomal RNA, 633 nt
Filed under: Ostrinia furnacalis (Asian corn borer)
Lineage: Eukaryota; Metazoa; Arthropoda; Insecta; Lepidoptera; Crambidae
Description: partial 16S ribosomal RNA
Source: RNAcentral
GGGGUAAAAAUUAAUAAUUAAAAAAUAAUAAAAUUAAUUUUAAUAUUAAAAUUGGGGGGUUUUAGUAUUAAUAAAGAAAAAAUUAUUAAUUUUAUAGUUAAUUAGUAUUGUAUAAGAAAUUUAAAAUAUAUUGAAAUUAUAUUUAUAUUAAAGUAAAUAUUAUUUAUUGUAUCUUGUGUAUCAGAGUUUAUUAAAUUAAAUUUUUAUAGAUAAAAAAUUCUCGAAUUUUAAAGAGUUAAUUAAUUAUUAAAGUUAUUGUUUCAUAAAUAUUUUAAAUAAUUAAUUAGAAAUGAAAUGUUAAUCGUUUUAAAAUAUAUCUAGUUUUUUUAGAAAAAAAUUUAAUUUUAAAUUUAUUUAUAAAUUUAAUUAAUUAAUUAAUUAAUUUAAAAUAAAUUUUAAUAUUUUAAGGGAUAAGCUUUAAAUUAAAUUUUUAUAAUUAUAUUUUUAUUUAAUUAAAAUUUUUAAAAUUUAUAUUGUUUAUAAAAUUUAAUUUAUUAUAAAAUAAUUUUAAUUAAAAUAUAAAAUUUUAAAUUAAUUUAAUUUUUUAUAAAAAAAUAAUUUUAAAUUUUAUAAAUUUAGUUAUAAUGAUAAAAUUAGUAUUAAAUUUAUAUAAAAAAUUUAUUUAAUAUUUUA